This is a non-coding RNA of Solanum tuberosum (potato), 91 nucleotides long. Lineage: Eukaryota; Viridiplantae; Streptophyta; Magnoliopsida; Solanales; Solanaceae. The record is from RefSeq and is marked provisional.
UAGCCAAGGAUGACUUGCCUGCACCAUAUUUGAAAAGGGGUUUCAUAUGUCCUUUCAUUCUUGGGGUCAAGCAGGUCAUCUUUAGCUAACU